This is a long non-coding RNA of Nycticebus coucang (slow loris), 721 nucleotides long. RefSeq lists it as uncharacterized. The record is from RefSeq and is a predicted model, not a curated record. Lineage: Eukaryota; Metazoa; Chordata; Mammalia; Primates; Lorisidae. The transcript has 4 exons.
CUGCGCCCUCCCGCGCCGCCCGGGCCUGGCACUGCGGGGCGAGCGGGCAAAGGCGGCCGGGCGUCUGGGCGCUGAGCUCGCCCAGAGCUGGGGAGAAGAGCGAGCGAGCGAACCAUGACCAGGAUGGAAAAGAGUAGUAUACACCAGAGCACUCUUAAACCAUUGGCAUUACACUAUCAUCAGACUCUCCAAUGCCAUGCAUCUUAAUUUCUCAUUGCAUCUUGGAACAUGAAUUUAUCAUGGAAUGAGCAUAUGGUUAAAUUCCAGACCUCCUUCUUUGGCUUAAAGGUCCUAAAACAUCCAGCCACUGCUCAUCAGUCCAACAUCGUUUAAUUUUCCCACCCUUCUUUUGUAUGCCUCCUCAUCUCUGAGUAAGUGACCCAUGUUUUCCUAUUUGAACUUCCUGCCACACUCUCUUUCUCACAGCUGGAUUCUCUUCAUUCCAUAGUUCUUGGCUUAGUGGUCAUGAAAGGUCCGAUUUGACAUCUCCGAGGUCACUUACAACAAUGUAUUACAACUGCCUUGCUUCAUUUGUCUGCCACUUUCGCCUACAAGCUUCCAGGGCAGGAACUUUGUCGUCUUCACUCUUCUAAGUUUGACGCCUGAAAUCAGCUUGGCUCAUAAUAGACACUCAAUAAACAUGUGUUGAAUGAAUAAGUAGCAUUGUAAACUUUCACCCAUGUUUCUUUAAACCUACUUUUCCAAAUACUUUUCCAUCUUU